This 382-nucleotide long non-coding RNA is filed under the name Equus caballus (horse). Its description in RNAcentral is "lncRNA (ENSECAG00000055166.1)". Lineage: Eukaryota; Metazoa; Chordata; Mammalia; Perissodactyla; Equidae. The record is from RNAcentral.
CAGGGAUUUAAUUUUAACAGUAACUUCUGGGAAUAUUCUUGAGAUAGUAUAUAUUUAGCUUAAUUUCCUCAUCUGGCCUUUCUGCUUGUGGUUUCUUCUUCUCUCCAACCCUUCUUGCACUGGGCCAAUCAGAUCAUUCUUCAGUCCAGUACUUACAGUGGCUGUUACAUCAGGUGCACUUUCUUCCUCCUGGCAGGAAUAUCCCAGAAGGCUUUACCAAGAAUGUGGGACUGUGCUGUGGCUUUAAGGAUUUGGCCAGAAGGAGGUCAGAGGAGGACAGAGCAAACUAGAGCAAUAUUCUGCUAGACAAUGGGCAAGCCAGACUAAUUAUCCAGACUGCAGCCAAAAUGAGACUGCACCCAGAAUAUGGCUUCGUUUUAAC